AGAGUUUGAUCCUGGCUCAGGAUGAACGCUGGCGGCGUGCCUAAUACAUGCAAGUCGAACGGAGCCCCGCAAGGGACUUAGUGGCGAACGGGUGAGUAACGCGUUGGUAACCUGCCCCGGAGAGUGGGAUAACAGGCCGAAAGGCUUGCUAAUACCGCAUGUGCAGUAGAGGAAUAGCAUCUGUACUGCAAAGCAGCAAUGCGCUCUGGGAGGGGCCUGCGACCCAUCAGCUAGUUGGUAAGGUAACGGCCUACCAAGGCGAUGACGGGUAGGGGACCUGAGAGGGUGGCCCCCCACAAUGGAACUGAAACACGGUCCAUACACCUACGGGUGGCAGCAGUAGGGAAUAUUGCAUAAUGGGCGAAAGCCUGAUGCAGCAACGCCGCGUGUGCGAUGAAGGCCUUCGGGUUGUAAAGCACUUUUCGCAGGGAAGAGGAAGGACGGUACCUGUGGAAUAAGCCUCGGCUAACUACGUGCCAGCAGCCGCGGUAAAACGUAGGAGGCGAGCGUUAUCCGGAUUUACUGGGUGUAAAGCGCGUGCAGGCGGUUGGCUAAGUUGGGUGUGAAAGCUCCUGGCUCAACUAGGAGAGGUCGCUCAAGACUGGCCGACUGGAGAGCAGUAAGGGAAGGUGGAAUUCCGGGUGUAGUGGUGAAAUGCGUAGAUAUCCGGAGGAACACCAGUGGCGAAAGCGGCCUUCUGGACUGCAUCUGACGCUCAGACGCGAAAGCUAGGGGAGCAAACGGGAUUAGAGACCCCGGUAGUCCUAGCUGUAAACGAUGUGAACUUGGCGCUGGAUGGG
RNAcentral lists this ribosomal RNA (800 nucleotides) under uncultured bacterium. Its description in RNAcentral is "bacterial SSU rRNA". It matches the Rfam family "Bacterial small subunit ribosomal RNA", at positions 8 to 831 of the family's 1533-position model. The record is from RNAcentral.